Molecule: ribosomal RNA, 217 nt
Filed under: Candidatus Margulisiibacteriota bacterium
Lineage: Bacteria; Bacillati; Candidatus Margulisiibacteriota
Description: partial 23S ribosomal RNA
Rfam family: Bacterial large subunit ribosomal RNA
Source: RNAcentral
GAUCAAGUUAUAGCAGCACAUAGAGGAUACCUUGGCACUGCAAGUCGAUGAAGGACGCGAUUGGCCGCGAUAUUCCCCGGGGAACUGUCUAAAUAGUUUUGAUCCGGGGGUCUCCGAAUGGGCAAACCCAUACUGGUUAAUUCCAGUAUAUCCUGACGUAAGUCAGGGUGACAACCCGCUGUACUGAAACAUCUUAGUAAGCGGAGGAAGAGAAAGU